RNAcentral lists this ribosomal RNA (1237 nucleotides) under Solenopsora candicans. RNAcentral describes it as "partial large subunit ribosomal RNA". It matches the Rfam family "Eukaryotic large subunit ribosomal RNA", at positions 648 to 1397 of the family's 3401-position model. Lineage: Eukaryota; Fungi; Ascomycota; Lecanoromycetes; Lecanorales; Catillariaceae. The record is from RNAcentral.
CCCGUCUUGAAACACGGACCAAGGAGUCUAAAAUCUUUGCGAGUGUUUGGGUGUCAAACCCACACCGCGUAAUGAAAGUGAACGGAGGUGGGAACCCUUCCGGGCGCACCAUCGACCGAUCCUGAUGUCUUCGGAUGGAUUUGAGUAUGAGCAUAGCCGUUACGACCCGAAAGACGGUGAACUACACAUGGAUAGGGUGAAGCCAGAGGAAACUCUGGUGGAGGCUCGCAGCGGUUCUGACGUGCAAAUCGAUCGUCAAAUCAGUGUGUAGGGGCGAAAGACUAAUCGAACCGUCUGGUAGCUGGUUUCGGCCGAAGUUUCCCUCAGGAUAGCAGUAACGUGUUCAGUUUUAUGAGGUAAAGCGAAUGAUUAGAGGCCUUGGGGGCGUAACGCCCUUAACCUAUUCUCAAACUUUAAAUAUGUAAGAAGUCCUUGUUGCUUGGUUGAACGCGGACAUUUGAAUGCACCGUUACUAGUGGGCCAUUUUUGGUAAGCAGAACUGGCGAUGCGGGAUGAACCGAACGUGAGGUUAAGGUGCCGGAAUGCACGCUCAUCAGACACCACAAAAAGUGUUAAUUCAUCCAGACAGCCGGACGGUGGCCAUGGAAGUCGGAACCCGCUAAGGAGUGUGAGCGUCGGCGUGCCUCAUCUUAGAUUCUUUAAAUCUAAUAUCACAACGCAAAUUUGUACGUUUUUACAUGCUCCUGAGAGUUUGUGGUGAACUAGAGUUGAUGGAUUGAAGUCUUGACUCGUCCAGCACUCAAUCGUUCUAAAGUCGUGGAGGGGUGGCGGCAGCUGCACAUCACGAGCCUGGUUUAUCUUGACUGAUGGGCAGGUUGACAGACUAAACAGAACGGGUCCCCCUGGGACUGUAAUAUAGUCGUCCUCGAAACCUAAAGGUUUCGGCGUCGGAUAGGGGGCUGCUCGCAAGACAGCUGGGGUGAUAUCCCUUCCCCGGUAGGUUGCCCCCUUGAAACCUGGUCCCGGACACAGUAACGUCACUGUGUCAAACUUGGGCUCAGUGGUUUCAUGGUGUUUACAACCCCUGAGUUCUUGGGGUUGUACCUGAUGUGUUCUCGGUUGACUCGAGUCGUUGGGGCGGCUGAUAUCCAACUGGCGGUGUAAAAACCCACCGGCCGAAUGAACUAGCCUUGAAAAUGGAUGGCGCUCAAGCGUGCUACCCAUACCUCACCGCCAGGGUAGAAUCGAAGCCCUGGCGAGUAGGCCGACGUGGAGG